CUCUUGGGUUGUCUAUCUGGGCAACAGGAUCACUGGAAAGCUGCAAAGAAGGUGAUGAGAUACUUGCAAGGAACAAAGAUUUACAUUCUUACAUAUAGAAAGUCAGAUAGCCUUGAAGUGAUUGGCUAUUCGGAUUCAGACUUUGCUGGAUGUGUGGAUAGUAGAAAGUCAACGUUUGGCUAUUUGUUCCUAUUAGCUGGAGAAGCAAUCUCAUAGAAAAGUGCCAAACAGACAAGCACUGCUUCGUCCACCAUGGAAGCAGAAUUUGUGGCAUGCUUUGACGCCACGGUUCAUAGUUUGUGGCUGUAUAACUUCAUCUCGGGACUUGGGAUGUCGACUCUAUUGCCAGGCCGUUGAGAAUCUUUUAUGACAAUACUGCAGCCGUCCAUUUCUCAAAAAACGACAAAUAUUCUAAUGGUGCCAAGCACAUUGAGCUUAAAUAUUUUGUUGUCAAUGAGGAAGUUCAGAAACAAAAUGUGUCUAUAGAAAAUAUGAGGACAGAGCUCAUGAUUGUCGAUCCUUUGAUAAAAGGUUUACAACCAAAGACUUUUAAAGAGCAUGUUGAAAGAAUGGGUCUUAGUUGUAAUCCAUGAUAUUAAUUGAGGAUUGUAUUAUGUUUAUUUCUUUGGCACUUAGAUAUAAUUGAUUAUGUUUCUGAUUUUCCUGUUCUUCAAAUAUAUGUACAUGUAUGGGUUUGAAUGUAUGAUUACAGGAAUUGUCUCUGACAAAGACAUAAUGUUUGACCAUUAAAGAUACUUCUCAUUUAUGGACUGUGGUUAAAUAAUUUACUAGUGUUGUAGUACUUGGAAGGAACUAUGUCAUUAUGUUGAUGUGGAACCGCCUUGACUCGUAUUAGUAAGUUGUUUAAUUAUGGUAUUAUGAUGACCCAACUUACUGUGGAUUAGAAUGAUGCGCGCCUAAUGUUUAUAUCAUUCUAACCAAAGUAUGGUCAUAUGGGCCAAGUGGGAGAAUGUUGGGUUUUGACCCACAUGACCACAACGUGGUCAGUUACGAGAUGAUUACCGUAACUGUCUCCUAGAGAAGUGGAAGCAUAAUAUCCUUGAUGGUAGGAUAUUCGAAGGGGUCUCACCCUCUGCCCAUAACGUGAACACAAAAUCGGUCUCCAUCACCGAGUGUUUGAACAGGGGUCAAGAGGGAGAAAGAAAAGAAGCGUUGAUCGUUCAGCAAAUCCAUGGAUCCAGGUAUGCAACCCUUCAUGGUUCUAUUUAUGAUCCUAUUUCCAGAUGAUUUAACAACUGGAGAUUUUCCAUUUUAUUCCUCUAAGAAUGUUUGCAGGUAUAAACAUAUCUUCUCUGCUCUAUGUAUGCUAAUUGUGUGAAACAGUCUGUUUCUUAUACUAUUUGUGGUCGUUGAUCAUCUCAUUUUUUUUGCAGUUGCAUUCUUGGACAUCAUUAUUAUGUUCUGGCUUGCAGAACAAUCUUAUAAUGAUAGGUUCAUCUUUUUGCUGCAGUAUUUAGUUCAAUAUUCUGCUCACAUGUUUCUUGGUGACUGAAAUUUUUACUGCUUACCAUAUGGAGCUACUCUAUUGCAGUUUUCUUUUUAUUUUAUAGUUUACACACUUUGGGUUAUGAAUUUACUAUUAUAUACCACAAGAGACCGUUUCUGAUUUGUCUCUUUUUGCUAUAAAUGUUUAUUGUCAAGUGAUUUCAAAAUGCAGUUGCAUUUGCUAAAAGUCAUCGGAUCAUUGAGAUAGGAAGUUGUCAUUGAUUUGCAGCUUAUAUUUAUGGACAAAUUUCAUAGAAGUGUUGCAAUGGAUGGAGGUUCUAGGUGGGAGGUGAAUGCUGUACUAUGCAUCUGUUGGAAGAAUCUCACUUCUGUAUUAUGUAUUGAUACUUUGGGAAGAAAUAUGAUACAUCAAGUUGGUAGAAUCUUAUCUUAGAAACUAAUGUAAACUACUUAGUACAAUUAUCAACAUUGAUAACAAGUUGUAUCUUUUGUUUUUUUAAAGCAAAAUGACCAUUCAUCUAUGUAACGUGGCUGCCUAUACUCUCCUAUGAUCUGUCAAAGGUCUUGGUAAAAUAGGGCUGGAAUUUCCUUCAUUUCAUGAAGUUGGUGAAGUUCUAUAAAAUUUCUGAGGUGUACUUAUAAAUGCAUGUUGAAUUGACUUACUAAGCGUGAGAACUAGGAGCGGUAGCAACCACUGACUACUUGGGCCAGGCCUUGCAGCCAGAAAAUGGGACGUCAAAUGGGACUGCAUGACUGAUAUUCAAUUUCUGUGAGAAGAAGGGGGGCUACUUGAGGGCUUCAACUUUCCUCUCUUGGUCUGCUACAACUUUUCUGGCUAUUGAAGAAUAUUUUCUGAGGUUUAAAUGGUUAUGAGUAAUAUUCGGUACUUUUGUUUUUGAACCAUAUUGAUGAUACUGAGAAAAAAGCAUAAGCAUUUUUACAUGAAUACUCACCUAUUUAUCAGUUUGAAAAUUAAAAUGUGCAUAGCCCUUAAGUUGGAAGAAAGACUCACUUUCAAGCCCAAUCUAAUAUAGAAGCAUUCAAAAAUGUAUCAAGCAUCAUUUGGGUGUCCAAGGGAUUAAAAUACAGAACAUGCAAGUUUAGACUGACCUUUAUUUUCAAUUGUAAAUGAGUAGAUAUUUACUGAGCUUGCACUUUAACAAAAUUUAAGAUAAGAUCCAUUUUGAAAACAAACUUGGAUGUUAGCAUGGAUGAAUUUGUGAACCAUAGCAAUGCAUUUCUUUGUUCCACCUUGCCAUCUUAACUAGUGAACAAUGUCCUGUCACAUUUGCUCCUAAAUUUUAAAUCUACAUCUGAUGUCAACAUUUCUAACAAUAUUUUGAUAGCAAAGUAGUAUAUGGCAGAACCCUUGGUUUCCCCCCGACCUUUUCAAAGCAAUAUGCAGUGCCUUUGUGCUGCCGUUCCUUUCUUGCAACCGUUCAUAUACUGCAAUUAUAGUUAUUCUCGAUAGCUUCUUAAAUCAGUAUGUUAUUGGACUUGACAUGGAUUGCAAUUAGUUGACUACUGACAACAAAUUAAUUCCACAUGACAGUUGCUGCAGAUGUCUGGUGCAUAUAUGCAAGUGCUCAGUUUGCAUGUCUUUUUAUGACGAUAAGAAACAAUUUGCAAAUUAUACUAUCUUGUCAUUUGCAUUUUUUUUUGUUUGAGAUUAAAUGUAUGUUGUGUUUUUGACAAGGAAUCAAGGUACGCCGAACCGAUACCGGUCGGCGUACCAUUGGGGACUGGUACCGGUUGGAACCAGUACCGAACCGGCCAACUAUGGAAGGAAAAAAAAAACUGAUGCAUGCGCAUCUGCGUUAAAGCCAUAUAGUGGCAUUAAAUGGCCCAUGCGGGCUUUGCUCGGGGAAUCACGCGCGGCGCAGUUCCUAGCGCAUGGAAUCGCGCGCAGGCGCGCUGCCUCGCGCGCGGACACUCUCUUUUUUUUUCUUCUCUUCUUCUUCCCAAACGUUCUCU
This is a non-coding RNA of Phoenix dactylifera (date palm), 3441 nucleotides long. Lineage: Eukaryota; Viridiplantae; Streptophyta; Magnoliopsida; Arecales; Arecaceae. The record is from RefSeq and is a predicted model, not a curated record.